Zeugodacus cucurbitae (melon fly) is the source of this 2168-nucleotide long non-coding RNA. RefSeq lists it as uncharacterized. The transcript is spliced from 3 exons. NCBI's taxonomy places the organism in Eukaryota, Metazoa, Arthropoda, Insecta, Diptera, Tephritidae. The record is from RefSeq and is a predicted model, not a curated record.
GGAAUGUGCACAAGUCGCUUAACGUAGUUCGAACGUAGUGGAUCGGUUUGGUGCAGCUCGUGGCGAUCAGCGUGCUGAAAUUGCCGGUCGCUGGUUGCUCAUACUAAUAUAUACAAUGUGACUUUUUGAAUUUAAAUAUCAAACAACUCGGAACGCAAUUCAGUUUUCUAUAACAAUAAUAAGUGUGUAGAACAGCGUUCGUGCGCUGAUCCGAUUAGCAACUUAGUGAACGCAUACUCGCGAGCGCGUACCGAACAGCGCAGAUCUGCAGUAGUUUGAGCUGAGCGCGUGAGUGCGCUCUUGCGAUGACAUCAAUGGCAAGUGAGCGCAGCUCGUGUGCCCUGUUGGGGCGCUCGCAGUAGUUACCUGUCGCAUUGGCCACGUCUGCUACGAUCAGUUGAACGACAGCUAGCAACAAGUACGCUUGUUAGCCAAGCAUAGCGGACGUCUACUGGCUAAGUUUGCUAAGCCAACAAGUCUAACUACAUACAUUUGAAACAUUGGAGGCUGUCUUUUUGAGCUGAUCGUGUCUCAUUACUUCACCGAACACAGUGUUGCUAACCAGACUACACAGUUUCAGUGUUAAAUCAAUAAAAUACAACAAAACAGUGCUUUAUAUAUAUAUUUACCGAAAAAAACACUAAAGACUGAACAGUUAAUAAAAUAAAACAUUGGAGAAAUGCCACUUAGUUAACACGCAGGUGCGAAUUGGAAGCAGACUAAGAUGAAAGAACUUCGAGAAGCCAAAAAAAUGUGAUCGCCUGAGUUGUGAUGAGCUGGAAUGGAAAGCAAUGAAAGCAAACCAAACAACAACAGUACUAAUUUAUUUACUUGUACGAGUUUUGUUGCUUUGUUGUAUUUGUCGAACUGUUAAAAAGCCUCGAGUAAACAACAAAAAGCAAGUGAGCCAGCCAGAAUAACACAAAGUCAACAGAUUUUUAGUGGGCCGGCAAAUGAACCGAACUGGCCGCUUAUCGACACCAUUGUUUUGUGUUGGUAUUUGCUAUGGAAUUAAACGACAACAACCACAAGUCAAACAGUUAGGUACAGAACAGUUAUAUAGCUGCCAAAUUAAGCGACCUUAUUGCAGAGCUGAAACGGUCACUUCGAACAGGAGGAGCUCAGGCUUGAGAACAUAACCAAAUCGAAACACAGAGAAAAUAGCUUUCACGUGCGCAAAUUGAUUGAAGAUUGAAGACUAUAUAGUCCACAGUGUCGCUGACGUCGACACUCAAGCGCUAAGUAAAAAAAAUACGAAAAAAAUGACUUUGUGUGGUGAAUUUUUGCCACCAACAGACGAACUCCUGUACUUUGGAAAUAUGAGCUCGUUAAUUCUGGUACAAGCAUAUGCUCCUGUGCCUACCAGGAACUGUCAGUUGACUCCUGUCAAAAAGUUGACAAAAAGUAAGAUAAGCUGCGCAGUUCUGCUUUUGGUAGCUCUGGCUCAGCUGCCUGCUGUCAGUUCUCGUCGAUUUUCGUCCUUGACUGAAGCUGGUGUGAAACUUGAGCCUUCAGGCUGGCUGAAAAAAAAUUGACGUUGAAGAGUGAGGCUCGGCGUACAUAUUUUGUGUACUCACAUAUGAGAAGGAAGCAUAAAGCCAGCACGAUGCCUGCAGUCCACUAUCCAUUCGGGCAGUCGCAAGUGAUUAGAGACAACUGACGGAUGGAAUGCUCGGCAGUAAGCGCCAACGGCCAACUUGAGGCAGCUGUUGUGGAAAUGGAGCUCCGCUCAUUACUGUAGUAUGUCGCUGCUUGCAAGUUGUUGAGCUCCAAGCUAGUCUAUCAUGUCGCAGGCAUCGACACACGACAACCGGAGUGAUUAGCUGUGGCGCAUGGCGUAUGUUGGUAUGUCAUUGAGAAUAGCAAGAAUUGUGUGUCCAUUUGCGCUAGUUUGUAAUAUAGUUCGAUUAAUGUCAAUGCGCACUACGGUAACUUCCGGUGUUCGGUGUGGCCCACAAUGUGGCAGCGGAUGUGUGGUAGCUCAACCAGUUUGCCAAUGUUGCUUUUUUAUAAUGGUUGGGCUGAUAUAUUUAAAAAAAAAAUUUUAUUAGAAAUCUAGAGAGCCUACUAAUUUACAAUGCAAAAAACAUUUCUAAAAAUAUCUCAAAUAAUAUUUGCCGGAAAUUCGCUUGAUUACCAUUGAUUGAUCAAUUAAUUCUGAUUGUUUU